GACGAACGCUGGCGGCGUGCUUAACACAUGCAAGUCGAACGGAAAGGCCCUGCUUUUGUGGGGUUCUCGAUUGGCGAACGGGUGAGUAACACGUGAGUAACCUGCCCUUGACUUUGGGAUAACUUCAGGAAACUGGGGCUAAUACCGUAUAGGAUCUCCUGCUGCAUGGUGGGGGUUGGAAAGUUUCGGCUGUUGGGGAUGGACUCGCGGCUUAUCAGCUUGUUGGUGGGGUAGUGGCUUCCCAAGGCUUUGACGGGUAGCCGGCCUGGGAGCGUGAACGGCGACAAGGGGCCUAAGGGAGGCCGCAGUGUGGAAUGGGAGGCAAUGGGGGGGAGUAUGACCCAGCGGGAGGACGUGUGUGACGAAAGCCUUGGGUGCGGAAUGCCGGGUUUCGGGGUGAGAACAGCUGUGGACUGAGACCCAGCGGGAGUGACGGUAAUGGGUAAAGAAGCACCGGCUAACUACGUG
This 468-nucleotide ribosomal RNA is filed under the name uncultured bacterium. Its description in RNAcentral is "partial 16S ribosomal RNA". It matches the Rfam family "Bacterial small subunit ribosomal RNA", at positions 28 to 507 of the family's 1533-position model. The record is from RNAcentral.